CCUACGGGUGGCAGCAGUGAGGAAUAUUGGUCAAUGGACGCAACUCUGAACCAGCCAUGCCGCGUGCAGGAAGACGGCCCUAUGAGUUGUAAACUGCUUUUGUACGAGGAUAAACUCAGUCACGUGUAUCUGUUUGCAAGUACCGCAUGAAUAAGGAUCGGCUAAUUCCGUGCCAGCAGCCGCGGUAAUACGGAGGAUUCAAGCGUUAUCCGGAUUUAUUGGGUUUAAAGGGUGCGUAGGCGGUCGGUUAAGUGAGAGGUGAAAUCCCGCGGCUCAACCUCGGAAUUGCCUCUGGUACUGGGCGGCUGGAGAGUAGUGGAGGUAGGCGGAAUGCAUGGUGUAGCGGUGAAAUGCUUAGAGAUCAUACAGAACACCGAUUGCGAAGGCAGCUUACCGAGGUAUUUCUGACGUUGAGGCACGAAGGCGUGGGGAGCGAACAGGAUUAGAUACCCGAGUAGUC
This 460-nucleotide ribosomal RNA is filed under the name uncultured bacterium. Its description in RNAcentral is "partial 16S ribosomal RNA". It matches the Rfam family "Bacterial small subunit ribosomal RNA", at positions 338 to 795 of the family's 1533-position model. The record is from RNAcentral.